Molecule: ribosomal RNA, 323 nt
Filed under: uncultured eukaryote
Lineage: Eukaryota
Description: partial 18S ribosomal RNA
Rfam family: Eukaryotic small subunit ribosomal RNA
Source: RNAcentral
CCCUUAGAUGUUCUGGGCUGCACGCGUGCUACACUGAUAUUGCCAAUAUGUCAUUCUUAUCCGAAAUGGAUUGGGUAAUCAAGUAAUGAAAUUUCAUGCUUGGAAUCGGUAAUUGCAAUUUUAUCGUGAACGAGGAAUUCCUAGUAAGCACUAGUCAUCAGCUAAUGUUGAUUAUGUCCCUGCCCUUUGUACACACCGCCCGUCGCUACUACUGAUUGGGUGUUCAAGUGAGAUGCUUAGACCCUUGUUGCAUGGUUCAUUAUUGUGCUCCGAAAGGAAAAAGUUUCAAGCUUGAGUGUCUAGAGGAAGUAUAAGUCGUAACA